Molecule: unclassified non-coding RNA, 222 nt
Filed under: uncultured fungus
Lineage: Eukaryota; Fungi
Description: sequence contains ITS1
Source: RNAcentral
UUAGUUAUUGUAUUGAUACUCAGACGACACGAAUAUCAGAGUUUGAAAUGGCCUUCGGCGGGCGCGCGCGAGCCCGGGUGUCCCCCGGGCCGGCGUCGGGGGCCCCGAGGCCCGCCGAAGCAACAAAGGUAGGUACGCACGGGGUGAAGAGGCGGGGCCGAAGCCCCCGGGGCGCGAGCCCCUCUCUCGUUAAUGAUCCUUCCGCAGGUUCACCUACGGAAA